This is a non-coding RNA of Alnus glutinosa, 71 nucleotides long. The record is from the annotation of a RefSeq genome assembly. Lineage: Eukaryota; Viridiplantae; Streptophyta; Magnoliopsida; Fagales; Betulaceae.
GGCGACAUGGCCAAGUGGUAAGGCAGGGGACUACAAAUCUCCUUUUCCCAGUUCAAAUCUGGGUGUUGCCU